RNAcentral lists this ribosomal RNA (408 nucleotides) under uncultured bacterium. Its description in RNAcentral is "bacterial SSU rRNA". It matches the Rfam family "Bacterial small subunit ribosomal RNA", at positions 125 to 507 of the family's 1533-position model. The record is from RNAcentral.
CCUGCCUUCAGGAUGGGGACAACAGACGGAAACGACUGCUAAUACCGAAUACGUCCUUAGGUCGCAUGACUUUAGGAAGAAAGGGUGGCCUCUACUCGUAAGCUAUCGCCUGAAGAGGGGUUUGCGUCUGAUUAGGUAGUUGGUGAGGUAACGGCCCACCAAGCCGACGAUCAGUAGCCGGGUCUGAGAGGGAUGAACGGCCACACUGGAACUGAGACACGGUCCAGACUCCUACGGGAGGCAGCAGUGGGGAAUCUUCCGCAAUGGGCGAAAGCCUGACGGAGCAACGCCGCGUGAGUGAUGACGGCCUUCGGGUUGUAAAGCUCUGUGAUCGGGGACGAACGGUCAGCAGACGAAUACUCUGCUGAAGUGACGGUACCCGAAUAGCAAGCCACGGCUAACUACGUG